This 1526-nucleotide long non-coding RNA is filed under the name Gallus gallus (chicken). Its description in RNAcentral is "lncRNA (ENSGALG00010021418.1)". Lineage: Eukaryota; Metazoa; Chordata; Aves; Galliformes; Phasianidae. The record is from RNAcentral.
GGAAGGUCUUCUCCGUGGAGAUCUUUUCUCUGGAGUUUUUGGUGAGCCCUGAUCCUCCGAAGGAGAGGUUUCUGGAUAUCCUCAUGUUUCCGCUUCACAGCUGUUGAGUGAAGAGACUGGCACCUACUUCAAGCAGCCCUUUCAAUGCUGCUGUGUACAAAGCUAUUGGGGUUGGAUUUCACACCUCUCAGGGUAACUGAGAGCAAGAUUUGCCCAGUUGCUGAAGAACACGAGGCUAAUAGUAGAACAGCCCAUGCAAAAAUUGUUGCUUUCAGCUCUGACAAGCUAAAAUGUAGCUAGAAGUAAUGGUCCCUCAAGGGCCCUUCUUCAUGGAUCUACUGAUUAAACUGACAAAUACUUUUCCCUAUCUACCACACAGCAUUUUAUGCCAUCUUUUGGGAAACUCAGGAAGGGUUUCUUUAGUGAAUGUGAUAUUGGUACCAUGGGAAGAGAUCAGUCUUGCGACUGCCCUUCAGGACAGAAGGAAAUCAUACUCUGCAUAAAGAAAAGCUCCUAUGCGUCCCUAGGUCAGCUGUGCAAAUGUAUAAGACAGAGCAAAAACUAUCUCAAAAAGCAUGACAAAUUCCUAUCAAGUUUCUUCUAGCAUUCUCAGUACAGUUCAAAAGCUCUAAUGUACUGAAAAUUCCAGUCUAGAACUUGAAUGUGGAGGUAGCACUGUGCUGGAAGGGCACCAAAAAGCCCCUUGAUGAGUUACUGAUGUAAAGCAACGCGGUGCAGAGCUUAAUGAAAGCACAAUCCCCUCUGCUGGGGAUCUACUGAAGGUUCUUAUUGUAAAAGAAUGGGGCCACUGAUAUCAAUCUCCUUUCCCUUUCUUCAAAAAGGCUGUUUUAUAAGUUGUGUCUUUAGGUAUAUUGUGGAGUUCCAGCUUAAGGUUCAGACCUGUUAGUGAAAUCAGCAGUGUUGUCUUAUGCAGCUUCUUAAAGUAAAAGUCCAAGGCCCUUUCCCAAGGAUUCCCGCAUUUAGAGCAGCUUCUGCUCUGUCCUAAUUAAUAUCAGGAAGGCCAGUUCAACUCUGCUGUGAAAUAAAUGGAGACAGCAACUUACUUGUCUGGAUCCUAGAAAAAUCCUAGCUGUCCUAAGCUGUUUUCCCAGUAAACAAAGAAGGCAGGCUGUGGAUGAAUUAUCAAGUUAGAGAUUGUCUCUUGACUAGAGUUUAACUGAAUAAAUAGAUGCAGAUUUUAAACAGCAUUAGAAUAGCACAUCUUUUGCCAGCUACUGUGUUUGUAAACACUGAAUGUUAAUUGAAAAUGCUGUUACCUAUGAGCCUGUAUGAAGUUAGAGGAAUUAUUGGAGGAUGGGGUGUGGGGGCUCGGCUGCUUUAUUGCUUGGCUAAUCAGAAUGUUUUGGUGCCAUUAAUUAUGCUCAGUGGCUAAGCCUGUAUAUAAGUUAAAGACUUAAAAAGGAUGUGAUUUGAAGUUCUUUUCUAUUUCAUUUUGUAGGUAGUGUAAGUGAUUCUGUGUCAUGAGAAAAUGUAUACAACACUGAUAAAUCCAUAAAGUAUUUGAC